UACGUAGGGGGCUAGCGUUGUCCGGAAUCAUUGGGCGUAAAGAGCGUGUAGGCGGUCCGGUAAGUCCGCUGUGAAAGUCGGGGGCUCAACCCUCGAAUGCCGGUGGAUACUGUCGGGCUAGAGUGCGGAAGAGGCGAGUGGAAUUCCUGGUGUAGCGGUGAAAUGCGCAGAUAUCAGGAGGAACACCUAUUGCGAAGGCAGCUCGCUGGGACGUUACUGACGCUGAGGAGCGAAAGCAUGGGGAGCGAACAGG
Molecule: ribosomal RNA, 253 nt
Filed under: uncultured bacterium
Lineage: Bacteria
Description: partial 16S ribosomal RNA
Rfam family: Bacterial small subunit ribosomal RNA
Source: RNAcentral